RNAcentral lists this long non-coding RNA (245 nucleotides) under Terrapene triunguis (Three-toed box turtle). Its description in RNAcentral is "Terrapene carolina triunguis (Three-toed box turtle) lncRNA (ENSTMTG00000019896.1)". The record is from RNAcentral. Lineage: Eukaryota; Metazoa; Chordata; Testudines; Emydidae.
CGAGUGCGCACCCUGCUUCCCCGGUCCAGCGGCCGCGCCUCCUUCCUUUCUUCUCACGCCCGCCGCCAGGCAGGGCUGCUGCGCACGGGGCCUCCCAGCUAUCCGGCCUGGCAGCGCCCGGCCUGGCCCGGAGCUGCCCCCACGUGUGGGGAGAAGCUGGGGAAGAUAGUGAAAAUCUGAAAAGGGCAAGAAAAGCAAGCAUGCAAAAGCAGAAACUUCCUUCUUCCUCUGAGAGGGUAUCAUAA